CGGACGGGUGAGUAACGCGUGGGUAACCUGCCUCACACUGGGGGAUAACACUUAGAAAUAGGUGCUAAUACCGCAUAAGCGCACAGCUUCGCAUGAAGCGGUGUGAAAAACUCUGGUGGUAUACGAUGGUUCCGCGUCUGAUUAGCUAGUUGGUGGGGUAAUGGCCUACCAAGGCAACGAUCAGUAGCCGGCCUGAGAGGGUGAACGGCCACAUUGGGACUGAGACACGGCCCAAACUCCUACGGGAGGCAGCAG
Molecule: ribosomal RNA, 255 nt
Filed under: uncultured bacterium
Lineage: Bacteria
Description: partial 16S ribosomal RNA
Rfam family: Bacterial small subunit ribosomal RNA
Source: RNAcentral